GUACACUCCUGCGGGAGGCAGCAGUGGGGAAUAUUGCACAAUGGGCGCAAGCCUGAUGCAGCCAUGCCGCGUGUAUGAAGAAGGCCUUCGGGUUGUAAAGUACUUUCAGCGGGGAGGAAGGCGAUAAGGUUAAUAACCUUGUUGAUUGACGUUACCCGCAGAAGAAGCACCGGCUAACUCCGUGCCAGCAGCCGCGGUAAUACGGAGGGUGCAAGCGUUAAUCGGAAUUACUGGGCGUAAAGCGCACGCAGGCGGUCUGUCAAGUCGGAUGUGAAAUCCCCGGGCUCAACCUGGGAACUGCAUUCGAAACUGGCAGGCUAGAGUCUUGUAGAGGGUGGUAGAAUUCCAGGUGUAGCGGUGAAAUGCGUAGAGAUCUGGAGGAAUACCGGUGGCGAAGGCGGCCCCCUGGACAAAGACUGACGCUCAGGUGCGAAAGCGUGGGGAGCAAACAGGAUUAGAAACCCCAGUAGUCCCAUGAU
RNAcentral lists this ribosomal RNA (479 nucleotides) under uncultured organism. Its description in RNAcentral is "partial 16S ribosomal RNA". It matches the Rfam family "Bacterial small subunit ribosomal RNA", at positions 331 to 801 of the family's 1533-position model. The record is from RNAcentral.